CACGGGGGGAGCAAGCGUUGUUCGGAAUCACUGGGCGUAAAGGGCGUGUAGGCGGUCAAGUAAGUGGAAUGUGAAAUCCCCCGGCUUACCCGGGGACCGGCAUCCCAUACUGCUUGGCUUGAGUACGGGAGAGGAUGUGGGAAUUCCUGGUGUAGCGGUGAAAUGCGCAGAUAUCAGGAGGAACACCGGUGGCGAAGGCGGUUCUCUGGGCAUUACCUGACGCUGAGGAGCGAAAGUGUAGGGAGCGAACAGG
Molecule: ribosomal RNA, 253 nt
Filed under: uncultured bacterium
Lineage: Bacteria
Description: partial 16S ribosomal RNA
Rfam family: Bacterial small subunit ribosomal RNA
Source: RNAcentral